UAGAGUUUGAUCCUGGCUCAGAACGAACGCUGGCGGCAUGCCUAACACAUGCAAGUCGAACGAAGGCUUCGGCCUUAGUGGCGCACGGGUGCGUAACGCGUGGGAAUCUGCCCUUAGGUUCGGAAUAACAGCUGGAAACGGCUGCUAAUACCGGAUGAUAUCGCGAGAUCAAAGAUUUAUCGCCUGAGGAUGAGCCCGCGUUGGAUUAGGUAGUUGGUGGGGUAAAGGCCUACCAAGCCGACGAUCCAUAGCUGGUCUGAGAGGAUGAUCAGCCACACUGGGACUGAGACACGGCCCAGACUCCUACGGGAGGCAGCAGAAGGG
RNAcentral lists this ribosomal RNA (324 nucleotides) under uncultured Sphingomonas sp. RNAcentral describes it as "bacterial SSU rRNA". It matches the Rfam family "Bacterial small subunit ribosomal RNA", at positions 1 to 359 of the family's 1533-position model. The record is from RNAcentral. Lineage: Bacteria; Pseudomonadati; Pseudomonadota; Alphaproteobacteria; Sphingomonadales; Sphingomonadaceae.